This is a long non-coding RNA of Toxorhynchites rutilus septentrionalis, 1084 nucleotides long. RefSeq lists it as uncharacterized. Lineage: Eukaryota; Metazoa; Arthropoda; Insecta; Diptera; Culicidae. The record is from RefSeq and is a predicted model, not a curated record. The transcript has 3 exons.
ACUUUUGCAUCGAUUUUCAUUAUAACAUUGUGUCUUGUUUUAUUGUUGUGUUUCGCGAUAUGAUUUUCCACGCAGCUCGAGAAUAACUUUCUCCCAGAAAUUGUAAGUGAAUUCUCAUCGAAAUAUUGAACAGACAUUGAACAGAAAUACAUAGGGCGUACAGUUACUUUCCCAGGUACACAUGAAACUGCUCACCAAAGCCAACGGGUUCUUCAAGUGUGACAAGCAGCAAUACGUUCGAAAUGACGGAUCAGCUCAAAUCCAACUUGCUGGAACACCAGAUCGAUGUGGAGAAGAUUUUCAACUGUGAGUUCUGUUCGAAUACCUUCAAAUCGAAUGAAGAUCUGAAGCGCCAUCGCAGAUCGCACACUGGUGAACGCCCGUUCAAGUGUGACACCUGUCCAAAACCGUUUACCCAGCUUUCGAAUCUACGUGCCCAUACAAAGAUUCACGAGAAGAAGUGAACCGCGUAUGGGUGUAAAAUUUGUCUGCUGGAGCUUGACUCGCUGGAAGCGCAUAGUUUGCAUCUCAAAACACAUCAGUUCCAGCUUUUUGAGUUAUGUAAAGAAUUGAGACAAUAGUUUGUGAUUGGACGAAAGUGUCUCGAUAAGAAUCUUUGUUAACCCGUAUCCGUACUAUAUACAUAUGCCAAUAUACACAAGUGUUAUUAGAUGUUUGAAACAUGUACUAUUGUGAUCGUAUUAGGGAAAUAAUUGUUGUUGUAUAUAACAACGAUAAUACAUGAAACAAGUUUUCUUCAAUCGAUCUUCAAAAUUAUAACAUAAUUUUAUUAACGAAAAAAACACAUAAUAAAUACAUAUUCGGCUAACCACUGUUGCAUACAUUUUUUUGUACGGCAAGCCAUCGUAACGUUCUUUUCUCUAUCGAUAUCGAACGGUUAGGACUAAAGGAGGAUUCAUAUAUUCAAAACAUUUGGAAGGGUUACCAAGUUGUUCAACUUAUCACAAUCAUUUAUAGUUUCUCAAACAAAAAAGAUUAGCAUUGAAAUCCCACCUAAGAACGCUAUCGUAACAUACCAUAUAACAGCAUCUUUCGACAGCAAAACGAUUGAAUUAUUGUUCUA